This 234-nucleotide unclassified non-coding RNA is filed under the name Hevea brasiliensis (rubber tree). The record is from RNAcentral. Lineage: Eukaryota; Viridiplantae; Streptophyta; Magnoliopsida; Malpighiales; Euphorbiaceae.
CUAUUCUCCAAUUUUGCUCUUCAACCUUACACUUACGGGCCAGCAAGUUGAAAACGCAUAUUAACAUGUCAAUGAUGACUGAAGGUCUAUCAUCCUGAAGCAAGAGGAAGGAGGAACACAUCCGGCGGGAAAACUUGUAAAUUUGAUCUUUCAAGGAUGACUUCGCGUACUCGUUCAAUGAUGUCACACAAAAAGCAUGCACUAUAUCUCUGUCAAAAUUUUGUAGCUCCCCAA